This 1937-nucleotide unclassified non-coding RNA is filed under the name Hevea brasiliensis (rubber tree). The record is from RNAcentral. Lineage: Eukaryota; Viridiplantae; Streptophyta; Magnoliopsida; Malpighiales; Euphorbiaceae.
CAAAACAUAAAACAUUUGUAGUUUCUUCUAUAUUCUUAUAAUCUAACAAAAGAAAACUGGCGCUUUCAGAUUUUUGCAGAGUUUAUAUAAAUAAAUAAGCAAACUUUUCGUCUUAAGAGAAUUAAGCUUUCCUGAGAAACUUGCCACCAAGUAGAAUGCUGGUUAAAGUAUCUUGAAGUUUUCUCUCCUACUAAGAGGAGCCUGCGAAGUUCUGUGUCAUCCUUUCUUCCGUUAAUUACAGUUCAUCUCCUAAACUCAUUUAUUAGCCUUCACCAACCUUGAUCCUUUGUUCAAGCUUUUACUUCCCUUUUGUCUUCCCUUUCUUACGAUCAUGUCUGACAACUCUCUUAAUGAUAUUAUCAAUAUGAAUGAAGCGUUGAGUUGCGAGGAGCCCUCUUUGGAAUUGUUCUGCACAACAGAGGAAGGACAACAGUUUACGGCCAAAAAACUGUUGGUAAAGGUUCUUGGCUCCAAGAAAUUUAACCCAUGGGUAUUAAAGUCGACGAUGAGUAAAGUGUGGGAUUUGCAAGCCGAUUUUUCAGUUAAAAGAGGGUCGGAGGGGACUUUCAUCUUCAACUUUGAAGAAGUAAGGGAUUUGGGUAAGGUAUGUGACGAAGGACCAUGGUCCAUUGAUAAUAAUUUGCUGAUUUUCAAGAAGUGGCCACCAGAUAAGUCAGUCCAAGAGAUAGAUUUUUCUAUUGAAGGGUUUUGGAUCCAAGUAUUGGGUCUUCCGCCAAAUAACUGGAAUCUAGAGAACGCGAAGAGAAUAGGAUGUUUGUUUGCGGGGCUCAUUGAAGUGGAUAGGAAUAUCGUACAAGUAACAGAAGGGUUGCUUGGGUUCAGGAUCAAGGUAUGGGUUGAUCUCCGAAAGCCUUUGGUGAUAGGCUUCCAUAAUGAUAGGGAGGGAGAAAGGAAGGAAUGGGUAAGAAUAAAGUAUGAGAGACUGCCUUAUUUUUGUUUCUAUUGUGGAAGAAUUGGGCGUAUUGUUAAAUUCUGUACAGAUUGGGCUACUUUAAACGUGUUCAAGAAGGAGAAGAAACUGGACGUUUCAAGUAUGGAAUGUGGCUUGCUACAAAAACCCCAAAUUUCACCAAGAGUCUGUCUCGAAGGUUAUCUGCAAAUUCCCAAAUCCAGUUAUCUUCGUUGGAAGGAAGAUCCUCUUCUAUAAAAGCAAGCUUGUCCAUUAUUCCCUACCAAAAACAAAACUCUCCAGAAAAUCGAUCAACUAACCGGAACUCUCCGGAACGUGUUCCAUACACGCCUUCCCCCUCUGCUCAGGCCCCGACCCUCACAAGCAACAUUAAUUACAAAGAUAAACCUGUCUAACCUGUGUCAGGCACUCAGGAUUUGGCAGCCAACAAAUCAACUCUGUUUUCUAUACAAGAAACCUUUUCUCAAACAAAAAAUGAAAAAGGGAAGAAAAUUCAGAUCUACAGCCUUGUGCCACCUACAGAAGCUUUUUCUGAAGAAUGGCAUAAUGACGGCGGUAUUCAACAAUUAGAGGAAGCUUCUAGCAAGAGUAUUAAUGGAUAGGGCAGUUCUGGGUUGACAACACACAUCUCCGAAAAUUAUCAAGGGUCAGAGAAUGGAAGAAAGAGCCAAGGAUAGAAUAUAGAGAGUGAAGAGGAAAAGGAUUUAAUUUUGGGCCAGAAGAGAAGCUUUUCAGUGUUCGCAAGCCCACUUCAUGUGGACCCGACAAACCCUCUCCAAUCUUCUACAGCAUGGCAGUCCCGAAAGAAGUUCUUUAUGUCGGGUAUAUCAAAUUUGGAGCUUAAUGGGCCUAAUUCAAAGCAAGAUGUUGCUGUUGACCCUAAGCCUUUGGACUUCUUGGUUCAUAUGGCUUGUAAUUUAUUCAAGCCUAACUCUAUUUUUGCUGGGCCUCAAUCGAAGGAGAUUCUAAACUUACUAAGUGACUGUUUGGAUUAACUGUUGAAUAC